GUGGGGAAUCUUGCGCAAUGGGCGAAAGCCUGACGCAGCCAUGCCGCGUGAAUGAUGAAGGUCUUAGGAUUGUAAAAUUCUUUCACCGGGGACGAUAAUGACGGUACCCGGAGAAGAAGCUCCGGCUAACUUCGUGCCAGCAGCCGCGGUAAUACGAAGGGGGCUAGCGUUGCUCGGAAUUACUGGGCGUAAAGGGCGCGUAGGCGGACAGCUUAGUCAGAGGUGAAAGCCCAGGGCUCAACCUUGGAAUUGCCUUUGAUACUGGCUGUCUUGAGUUUGGGAGAGGUGAGUGGAACUCCGAGUGUAGAGGUGAAAUUCGUAGAUAUUCGGAAGAACACCAGUGGCGAAGGCGACUCACUGGCCCAAUACUGACGCUGAGGCGCGAAAGCGUGGGGAGCAAACAGGAUUAGAUACCCGUGUAUCC
This 424-nucleotide ribosomal RNA is filed under the name uncultured bacterium. RNAcentral describes it as "partial 16S ribosomal RNA". It matches the Rfam family "Bacterial small subunit ribosomal RNA", at positions 354 to 795 of the family's 1533-position model. The record is from RNAcentral.